This 463-nucleotide ribosomal RNA is filed under the name uncultured bacterium. RNAcentral describes it as "bacterial SSU rRNA". It matches the Rfam family "Bacterial small subunit ribosomal RNA", at positions 32 to 506 of the family's 1533-position model. The record is from RNAcentral.
AAUCAACGCUGGCGGCGUGCCCAGACAUGCAAGUCGAACGAUUAAAGCUCUCUUCGGAGAGUGCAUAAAGUGGCGCACGGGUGAGUAACACGUAAGUAAUCUACCUUCGAGUGGGGAAUAACGUCCGGAAACGGACGCUAAUACCGCAUAACGCAGCGGCAUCGCAAGAUGUACAGUUGUUAAAGAUUUAUCGCUUGAAGAGGAGCUUGCGGCAGAUUAGCUUGUUGGUAAGGUAACGGCUUACCAAGGCUACGAUCUGUAUCCGGUCUAAGAGGACGGUCGGACACACUGACACUGAAUAACGGGUCAGACUCCUACGGGAGGCAGCAGUCGGGAAUUUGGGCAAUGGGGGAAACCCUGACCCAGCAACGCCGCGUGAAGGAUGAAGUAUUUCGGUAUGUAAACUUCGAAAGAAUAGGAAGAAUUAAUGACGGUACUAUUUAUAAGGUCCGGCUAACUACGU